RNAcentral lists this ribosomal RNA (329 nucleotides) under uncultured eukaryote. RNAcentral describes it as "partial 18S ribosomal RNA". It matches the Rfam family "Eukaryotic small subunit ribosomal RNA", at positions 1470 to 1796 of the family's 1831-position model. The record is from RNAcentral.
CCCUUAGAUGUUCUGGGCCGCACGCGCGCUACACUGACGAUGGCAACGAGUUUUUCCUUCGCCGAAAGGUGUGGGUAAUCUUUUGAAACAUCGUCGUGCUGGGGAUAGAUCAUUGCAAUUUUUGAUCUUGAACGAGGAAUUCCUAGUAAGCGCGAGUCAUCAGCUCGCGUUGAUUACGUCCCUGCCCUUUGUACACACCGCCCGUCGCUACUACCGAUUGAAUGGUUUAGUGAGGAGUCCUGAUUGGCGCCGCCGCCCCGGCAACGGAGCAGCGGACUGCCGAAAAGUUGUUCAAACUUGAUCAUUUAGAGGAAGUAAAAGUCGUAACA